CGAGGAAAAACAUGCACAAACUUGUUGAUUUCCAUCAAAUAUUGGCCAAGUGGGAAUGGAAAUGACUGCAGUCUGCGAUCGUGCCGAUACACGUACAGUAGGAGAAGAGAGGAAGAGGCCUCUUACAGUCACCUGGUUUGGAGUCCUGUGAGACGGUCAUGCACUCACCUGGUGGUUUGCCAGAUCAACAAAAGAAGGACUUGCUUGGUGUGUUUGUUGUCAUUAAUUUGAUGCAGGUCAUUUCCAGAACACUGCGUAAUGAUUGAAUAUGUCUUUUUGUGUGGCACCAGUAAAUGGUAAACAUGUUUGUUUAUUAUCCUUACUGUUAUUAUUAUUUUUGAUGCAGCCUCGUUUGUAUAAAAUGUGACGUGAGGACUGUGGAGCACGCAGAAAGGGGAAGAAGUCGGCGUUUAGUGGACUCAGGUCAGCGUGAUGCUCCGCUGAGGAUCCAGAUCUGUUUGUGGCUUAAAAGCAGAAGACUGCGCUGGAAUCCGGCCCACCACGUAAACGUGUGUGAGGGAGCAGCGGGUUGGAGGAGCAACGGGUUGGAGGAGCAGCGGGUUGGAGGAGCAACGGGUUGGAGGAGCAGCGGGUUGGAGGAGCAACAGGAGCAGCGGGUUGGAGGAGCAACGGGUUGGAGGAGCAGCGGGUUGGAGGAGCAACGGGUUGGAGGAGCAGCGGGUUGGAGGAGCAGCGGGUUGGAGGAGCAACAGGAGCAGCGGGUUGGAGGAGCAACAGGAGCAGCGGGUUGGAGGAGCAGCGGGUUGGAGGAGCAACGGGAGCAGCGGGUUGGAGGAGCAACGGGUUGGAGGAGCAGCGGGUUGGAGGAGCAACGGGUUGGAGGAGCAACGGGAGCAGCGGGUUGGAGGAGCAACGGGUUGGAGGAGCAACGGAUUGGAGGAGCAACGGGUUGGAGGAGCAACGGAUUGGAGGAGCAACGGGUUGGAGGAGCAACGGGUUGGAGGAGCAACGGGUUGGAGGAGCAACGGGUUGGAGGAGCAACGGGAGCAGCGGGUUGGAGGAGCAACAGGUUGGAGGAGCAACGGGUUGGAGGAGCAACGGGUUGGAGGAGCAGCAGGUUGGAGGAGCAGCAGGUUGGAG
This 1101-nucleotide long non-coding RNA is filed under the name Cyclopterus lumpus (lumpfish). RNAcentral's name for it is "lncRNA (ENSCLMG00005004220.1)". Lineage: Eukaryota; Metazoa; Chordata; Actinopteri; Perciformes; Cyclopteridae. The record is from RNAcentral.